GGGCUCGUGGUUCAGCGGAAGAACGCUCGGCUGGCAGCCGAGAAGUCGGGGGUUCAAAUCCCUCCGAGUCCA
Molecule: transfer RNA, 72 nt
Filed under: Nanobdellati archaeon
Lineage: Archaea; Nanobdellati
Description: tRNA-Ala
Rfam family: tRNA
About the family: Transfer RNA (tRNA) molecules are approximately 80 nucleotides in length.
Source: RNAcentral